Molecule: non-coding RNA, 210 nt
Filed under: Bacillus sp. (in: firmicutes)
Lineage: Bacteria; Bacillati; Bacillota; Bacilli; Caryophanales; Bacillaceae
Description: Bacillus sp. T-box sequence
Rfam family: T-box leader
About the family: Uncharged tRNA acts as the effector for transcription antitermination of genes in the T-box leader family. T-boxes are found upstream of many aminoacyl-tRNA synthetase genes and some amino acid biosynthetic genes usually in Gram-positive bacteria. The anticodon of a specific tRNA base pairs to a specifier sequence within the T-box motif, and the NCCA acceptor tail of the tRNA base pairs to a conserved bulge in the T-box antiterminator hairpin.
Source: RNAcentral
AGUUAAACAUUGAUGAGGAAUAGUAAAAUGUGCACUGUUUAUUAUAGAGAGGGAGCCAAUUGCUGAAAGGGUCCUAUAAGCAGCCAUUUGAACCUGUCUCUGAGUUCUGUAUCAUUUAAAGAUUACAGCGGGUUUACAUCCCGUUAUCAUGUAUGAGUGUAAAGCUUUGCUUUAAAUUAGGGUGGUACCGCCAAGUGAUUGGUCCCUAUU